RNAcentral lists this ribosomal RNA (384 nucleotides) under Staphylococcus epidermidis NIHLM037. Its description in RNAcentral is "bacterial SSU rRNA". It matches the Rfam family "Bacterial small subunit ribosomal RNA", at positions 1 to 375 of the family's 1533-position model. Lineage: Bacteria; Bacillati; Bacillota; Bacilli; Caryophanales; Staphylococcaceae. The record is from RNAcentral.
UUUUAUGGAGAGUUUGAUCCUGGCUCAGGAUGAACGCUGGCGGCGUGCCUAAUACAUGCAAGUCGAGCGAACAGACGAGGAGCUUGCUCCUCUGACGUUAGCGGCGGACGGGUGAGUAACACGUGGAUAACCUACCUAUAAGACUGGGAUAACUUCGGGAAACCGGAGCUAAUACCGGAUAAUAUAUUGAACCGCAUGGUUCAAUAGUGAAAGACGGUUUUGCUGUCACUUAUAGAUGGAUCCGCGCCGCAUUAGCUAGUUGGUAAGGUAACGGCUUACCAAGGCAACGAUGCGUAGCCGACCUGAGAGGGUGAUCGGCCACACUGGAACUGAGACACGGUCCAGACUCCUACGGGAGGCAGCAGUAGGAUCUUCCGCAAUGGG